GAUGAACGCUAGCGGCAGGCCUAAUACAUGCAAGUCGAACGGGAUCUGAGGGUAGCUUGCGACCCGAUUUGAGAGUGGCGCACGGGUGCGUAACGCGUGAGCAACCUACCCAUAUCAGGGGGAUAGCCCGAAGAAAUUCGGAUUAACACCGCAUAAUAAUACGCUAACACAUGUUGAUGUAUUUAAAUAUUUAUAGGAUAUGGAUGGGCUCGCGUGACAUUAGCUAGUCGGUAAGGUAACGGCUUGCCAAGGCGACGAUGUCUAGGGGCUCUGGGAGGAGAAUCCCCCACACUGGUACUGAGACACGGACCAGACUCCUACGGGAGGCAGCAGUAAGGAAUAUUGGUCAAUGGGCGCAAGCCUGAACCAGCCAUGCCGCGUGCAGGAUGACUGCCCUAUGGGUUGUAAACUGCUUUUGUUAGGGAAUAAACCUUCUUACGUGUAAGGAGCUGAAUGUACCUAAAGAAUAAGGAUCGGCUAACUCCGUGCCAGCCGCCGCCGUAA
RNAcentral lists this ribosomal RNA (504 nucleotides) under uncultured bacterium. RNAcentral describes it as "partial 16S ribosomal RNA". It matches the Rfam family "Bacterial small subunit ribosomal RNA", at positions 28 to 523 of the family's 1533-position model. The record is from RNAcentral.